Molecule: ribosomal RNA, 429 nt
Filed under: Chloroflexota bacterium
Lineage: Bacteria; Bacillati; Chloroflexota
Description: Chloroflexi bacterium partial 16S ribosomal RNA
Rfam family: Bacterial small subunit ribosomal RNA
Source: RNAcentral
UGGGGAAUAUUGCACAAUGGGCGCAAGCCUGAUGCAGCCAUGCCGCGUGUAUGAAGAAGGCCUUCGGGUUGUAAAGUACUUUCAGUCGGGAGGAAGGUGGUAAGGUUAAUAACCUUGGCAAUUGACGUUACCGACAGAAGAAGCACCGGCUAACUCCGUGCCAGCAGCCGCGGUAAUACGGAGGGUGCAAGCGUUAAUCGGAAUUACUGGGCGUAAAGCGCACGCAGGCGGUUGAUUGAGUCAGAUGUGAAAUCCCCGGGCUUAACCCGGGAAUUGCAUCUGAUACUGGUCAGCUAGGGUCUUGUAGAGGGGGGUAGAAUUCCAUGUGUAGCGGUGAAAUGCGUAGGGAUGUGGAGGAAUACCGGUGGCGAAGGCGGCCCCCUGGACAAAGACUGACGCUCAGGUGCGAAAGCGUGGGGAGCAAACAGG